RNAcentral lists this ribosomal RNA (433 nucleotides) under uncultured bacterium. Its description in RNAcentral is "partial 16S ribosomal RNA". It matches the Rfam family "Bacterial small subunit ribosomal RNA", at positions 29 to 507 of the family's 1533-position model. The record is from RNAcentral.
AACGAACGCUGGCGGCAUGCCUAACACAUGCAAGUCGAACGAGACCUUCGGGUCUAGUGGCGCACGGGUGCGUAACACGUGGGAAUCUGCCCUUUGCUUCGGAAUAACAGUUAGAAAUGACUGCUAAUACAGGAUGAUGUCGAAAGACCAAAGAUUUAUCGGCAAAGGAUGAGCCCGCGUAGGUUUAGGUAGUUGGUGGGGUAAAGGCCUACCAAGCCGACGAUCCUUAGCUGGUCUGAGAGGAUGAUCAGCCACACUGGGACUGAGACACGGCCCAGACUCCUACGGGAGGCAGCAGUGGGGAAUAUUGGACAAUGGGCGAAAGCCUGAUCCAGCAAUGCCGCGUGAGUGAUGAAGGCCUUAGGGUUGUAAAGCUCUUUUACAAGGGAUGAUAAUGACGGUACCGGGAGAAUAAGCACCGGCUAACUCCGUG